RNAcentral lists this ribosomal RNA (494 nucleotides) under uncultured bacterium. RNAcentral's name for it is "partial 16S ribosomal RNA". It matches the Rfam family "Bacterial small subunit ribosomal RNA", at positions 28 to 507 of the family's 1533-position model. The record is from RNAcentral.
GACGAACGCUGGCGGCGUGCUUAACACAUGCAAGUCGAACGGUGAAGCGCCUUCCUUUUUGGUGGGUGUGGAUGAGUGGCGAACGGGUGAGUAACACGUGAGUAACCUGCCCCCUUCUUCUGGAUAACCGCAUGAAAGUGUGGCUAAUACGGGAUAUUCUGGGUCUGUCGCAUGAUGGGUCUGGGAAAGAUAUUGUUUCGGUGGGGGAUGGGCUCGCGGCCUAUCAGCUUGUUGGUGGGGUGAUGGCCUACCAAGGCGGUGACGGGUUGCCGGCCUGAGAGGGUGGACGGUCACACUGGGACUGAGACACGGCCCAGACUCCUACGGGAGGCAGCAGUGGGGAAUAUUGCACAAUGGGCGCAAGCCUGAUGCAGCGACGCCGCGUGAGGGAUGGAGGCCUUCGGGUUGUGAACCUCUUUCGCCAGUGAAGCAGGCCUGCCUCGUUUGUGGGUGGGUUGACGGUAGCUGGAGAAGAAGCGCCGGCUAACUACGUG